UUUAACAGAAAAUUUAAUGUGGAUAGGCAGAGAUAUGCCAUGUCUGACAGAUGAAAAGGGUCUAAGAGCAGCAACACCUACAUUGGGCUGGUGGUGCAGAAGAGGAGAAAUUUGUUUUCCACAGAAUGUCCACAGGGGCCAUCAAGAAAAAGCCACCACAUUUUGAGAAUUACCAAACUCUACAGCAGACCCACCCAAAAAAGCUUUCAUCGCUUGUUUAGCAUCCAAACUGCACAGCUGCUGCAGGGAUUGGCCCCAAACUCCUGAGUGCUGUGAGCGUGCCUUGUUUGUUCAGGUCUGAGCACCAGGUUUGCAUCUUCCCGUGGAAGCUGACAGGAAAAUUGGUCAGAAACAUAGAGGCAAAUCCAGGGUUAGUCUUGGAAACAUGAAUCAGGGAAGAAAACUAAAGCUGUUCUUCAAUUUGUUUUGGCACAAAUUAUUGUCGGUUUUAUCUGAUCUGCCCAAAACCUUGAUGAU
Molecule: long non-coding RNA, 477 nt
Organism: Vidua chalybeata
Lineage: Eukaryota; Metazoa; Chordata; Aves; Passeriformes; Viduidae
Exons: 2
Source: RefSeq, a predicted model, not a curated record